Molecule: ribosomal RNA, 447 nt
Filed under: Blepharidopterus diaphanus
Lineage: Eukaryota; Metazoa; Arthropoda; Insecta; Hemiptera; Miridae
Description: partial large subunit ribosomal RNA
Rfam family: Bacterial large subunit ribosomal RNA (bases 321-447)
Source: RNAcentral
GACUGUACAAAGGUAGCAUAAUCAUUUGUCUUUUAAUUGAGGUCUGGAAUGAAUGGUUUGAUGAGAGAUAUACUUUCUUUAUUUUAUAAUAAAAACUUAAUUUUUUAGUUAAAAAGCUAAAAUAUAUUUAUAGGACGAGAAGACCCUAUAGAACUUUUUAUUUACAUAUAUAUAUACAAUUUAUAGAUUAUAUAUAUUUAAUAUAUAUAUGUAAAUUAUGUUGGGGUGACAUUAAAAAUUCUAUAACUUUUUUAUUUUUUAUCACUAAUAUGUGAAAGUUUGAUCCUUUUAUAUGGAUAAUUAGACUAAGUUACCUUAGGGAUAACAGCGUUAUUAUUUUAGAGAGUUCAUAUCGAUGAAAUAGUUUGCGACCUCGAUGUUGGAUUAUAAUAAAAUAUAGGAGUAGAAUAUUAUAUUUUAGGUCUGUUCGACCUUUAAAUUUUUACA